CUGACUGUGCUAAGGUAGCAUAAUCAUUUGUUAUCUAAAUGAUAACUAGUAUGAAUGGUCUGACGAGAAAAUAACUUUCUAAAAAGAAAAGAUAAAAAUUUAUUUUAAAGUAAAAAAGCUUUAUAACUUUAGAAAGACGAGAAGACCCUAGAACCUUUUCUAUCUAUAUAGUUUGUUGGGGUGACAUUAUUCAAAACAAAUAACUAUUAAAACUUAUUAACUGACUCUGUCUAUCUUUAUUAAAAAAAAAAAAGGUACUCUAGGGAUAACAGCAUAAUCUUCUUCUAGAGCCCUUAUCGACAAGAAAGAUUUUGACCUCGAUGUUGAAUUGAUAUUUCUUUCUAAAG
Molecule: ribosomal RNA, 347 nt
Filed under: Armadillo officinalis (oak-woodland pillbug)
Lineage: Eukaryota; Metazoa; Arthropoda; Malacostraca; Isopoda; Armadillidae
Description: partial large subunit ribosomal RNA
Rfam family: Bacterial large subunit ribosomal RNA
Source: RNAcentral